Molecule: ribosomal RNA, 482 nt
Filed under: uncultured bacterium
Lineage: Bacteria
Description: partial 16S ribosomal RNA
Rfam family: Bacterial small subunit ribosomal RNA
Source: RNAcentral
AUUGAACGCUGGCGGCAUGCCUUACACAUGCAAGUCGAACGGUAACAGGUCUUCGGACGCUGCCGAGUGGCGAACGGGUGAGUAAUACAUCGGAACGUGCCCGAUCGUGGGGGAUAACGAGGCGAAAGCUUUGCUAAUACCGCAUACGAUCUACGGAUGAAAGCGGGGGAUCUUCGGACCUCGCGCGGACGGAGCGGCCGAUGGCAGAUUAGGUAGUUGGUGGGAUAAAAGCUUACCAAGCCGACGAUCUGUAGCUGGUCUGAGAGGAUGAUCAGCCACACUGGGACUGAGACACGGCCCAGACUCCUACGGGAGGCAGCAGUGGGGAAUUUUGGACAAAGGGCGAAAGCCUGAUCCAGCCAUGCCGCGUGCAGGAUGAAGGCCUUCGGGUUGUAAACUGCUUUUGUACGGAACGAAAAGCCUCUUUCUAAUAAAGAGGGGUCAUGACGGUACCGUAAGAAUAAGCACCGGCUAACUACGUG